Molecule: small nuclear RNA, 176 nt
Filed under: Rhinolophus ferrumequinum (greater horseshoe bat)
Lineage: Eukaryota; Metazoa; Chordata; Mammalia; Chiroptera; Rhinolophidae
Description: U4 spliceosomal RNA (ENSRFEG00010004393.1)
Rfam family: U4 spliceosomal RNA (bases 1-83)
Source: RNAcentral
AGCUUUGCGCAGUGGCAGUAUCGUAGCCAAUGAGGUUUAUCUGAGGCACGAUUAUUGCUAAUUGAAAACUUAUUAUCAUUUCAGGGGAUGGAGGUUGUCUGUGUGUUUUCAGAGUCAUGGAGGGUUUUGGCAAUUAAUUCUUUCUAAGAUCUAAAUGUUGGAAUUGUAACAUUGAG